AAUAACCUCUGUUACGAGACUGUUCAAUUUUUCACACUGCUGUCACGCACACAAAAAAAUGCAACAUUCCACUAGCUGUUUCCAAAAGCUCUGGGUGACAAGACACACACACUCACUACGAAAAGUCCAGCAGGUGCCAAUUGGUGUUGCUGCAGCAAGAAAGAAUAACAACGAGAGCUGUGAAAGUCUCCACUAUCCUGGGAAAGAAUCGGGCAUCUCCCUACUUGGAUAACCACAGUAUCCUCUCAAACACAAGGCCUCUGUUUGAAUGCCACCCAAACACCAUAUUAAGCAGUAUUUUUAUUCCCAACCCUGGGACAAGAACGGAAGCUCUAGGAGACAGGCUGUGUCUGCAGGACUCAGAACUGCCUGGAAUGUGUCCAGAGGUGGGAUGCUGGAGAAGAGGACUUUCCACCUGCUCCCCAGCAAGCAUCAUUCAGCCUCUUCUAGGACCUCCGUCAUCUUGGAUUGACGUCCAAAGAUCGUGGGGCUCAGACUAGCUUGUUAUGCGACAGUCAUCGCCAUCACUUGGGCAAAGCGGAUGCUCAGGGAGCACUCACUCUGUGCCACAGGGUUGAUGUGCACGUAACACAGGUCACCUCAUUG
Molecule: long non-coding RNA, 606 nt
Filed under: Sus scrofa (pig)
Lineage: Eukaryota; Metazoa; Chordata; Mammalia; Artiodactyla; Suidae
Description: lncRNA (ENSSSCG00015024851.1)
Source: RNAcentral